AACGAACGCUGGCGGCAGGCUUAACACAUGCAAGUCGAACGCUUCACCCUCGGGUGGAGAGUGGCAGACGGGUGAGUAACACGUGGGAACGUACCCUUUGGUUCGGAAUAACUCAGGGAAACUUGAGCUAAUACCGGAUACGCCCUUAUGGGGAAAGGUUUACUGCCGAAGGAUCGGCCCGCGUCCGAUUAGCUUGUUGGUGAGGUAAUGGCUCACCAAGGCAUCGAUCGGUAGCUGGUCUGAGAGGAUGGCCAGUCACAUUGGGACUGAGACACGGCCCAAACUCCUACGGGAGGCAGCAGUGGGGAAUAUUGGACAAUGGGCGCAAGCCUGAUCCAGCCAUGCCGCGUGAGUGAUGAAGGCCUUAGGGUUGUAAAGCUCUUUUACCUGGGAAGAUCAUGACGGUACCAGGAGAAUAAGCCCCGGCUAACUUCGUGCCA
Molecule: ribosomal RNA, 440 nt
Filed under: uncultured bacterium
Lineage: Bacteria
Description: bacterial SSU rRNA
Rfam family: Bacterial small subunit ribosomal RNA
Source: RNAcentral